GACCCUACGGGACGCAGCAGUAGGGAAUUUUCGUCAAUGGGCGCAAGCCUGAACGAGCAAUGCCGCGUGAACGAGGAAGGUCUUCGGAUCGUAAAGUUCUGUUGAAGGGGAAAAAGAGCGGAGAGAGGAAAUGCUUUCUGAUUGAUAUUACCCUUCGAGGAAGUCACGGCUAACUACGUGCCAGCAGCCGCGGUAAUACGUAGGUGGCGAGCGUUAUCCGGAGUGAUUGGGCGUAAAGGGAGCGUAGACGGCAGCGCAAGUCUGGAGUGAAAUGCCGGGGCCCAACCCCGGAACUGCUCUGGAAA
This 305-nucleotide ribosomal RNA is filed under the name uncultured bacterium. RNAcentral's name for it is "bacterial SSU rRNA". It matches the Rfam family "Bacterial small subunit ribosomal RNA", at positions 335 to 632 of the family's 1533-position model. The record is from RNAcentral.